Molecule: transfer RNA, 58 nt
Filed under: Myotis lucifugus (little brown bat)
Lineage: Eukaryota; Metazoa; Chordata; Mammalia; Chiroptera; Vespertilionidae
Rfam family: tRNA
About the family: Transfer RNA (tRNA) molecules are approximately 80 nucleotides in length. Their secondary structure includes four short double-helical elements and three loops (D, anti-codon, and T loops).
Source: Rfam by way of RNAcentral
UGGCUUAAUGGUUGGAGCAUUGGCCCUCGGACCCAAGGGUCGUGGGUUCAAUUCCCAU